GACGUAGGGGGCGAGCAUUGUCCGGAUUUAUUGGGCGUAAAGCGUGCGUAGGCGGCUGCGCAAGUCGGGUGUGAAACCCCGGGGCUCAACCCCGGAACUGCAUCCGAUACUGCGUGGCUAGAGGUAGGUAGGGGAGAUCGGAAUUCCUGGUGUAGCGGUGAAAUGCGCAGAUAUCAGGAGGAACACCGGUGGCGAAGGCGGAUCUCUGGGCCUUACCUGACGCUCAGGCACGAAAGCUAGGGGAGCGAACAGG
Molecule: ribosomal RNA, 253 nt
Filed under: uncultured bacterium
Lineage: Bacteria
Description: partial 16S ribosomal RNA
Rfam family: Bacterial small subunit ribosomal RNA
Source: RNAcentral